CUUAUGGCCACUUUGAAACACCAGUUCCCGUACGAUCACCGCAGUUAAGCAACAUCGCGUUUGGUUAGUACCUACAUGGGAAUAGAAAGUGGGAAUACCAGGUGCUGUAAU
This is a non-coding RNA of Acanthosepion pharaonis, 111 nucleotides long. NCBI's taxonomy places the organism in Eukaryota, Metazoa, Mollusca, Cephalopoda, Sepiida, Sepiidae. The record is from the annotation of a GenBank genome assembly.